RNAcentral lists this ribosomal RNA (895 nucleotides) under uncultured bacterium. RNAcentral's name for it is "bacterial SSU rRNA". It matches the Rfam family "Bacterial small subunit ribosomal RNA", at positions 29 to 911 of the family's 1533-position model. The record is from RNAcentral.
AUAGACGCUGGCGGCAGGCCUAACACAUGCAAGUCGAGCGGUAACACAAGGGAGCUUGCUCCUGAGGUGACGAGCGGCGGACGGGUGAGUAAUACCUAGGUAUCUGCCCAAUCGUAGGGGGAUAACAGUUGGAAACGACUGCUAAUACCGCAUACGCCCUACGGGGGAAAGGAGGGGACCUUCGGGCCUUCCGCGAUUGGAUGAACCUAGGCGGGAUUAGCUAGUUGGUGAGGUAAUGGCUCACCAAGGCGACGAUCCCUAGCUGGUCUGAGAGGAUGAUCAGCCACACUGGAACUGAGACACGGUCCAGACUCCUACGGGAGGCAGUAGUGGGGAAUAUUGCACAAUGGGCGAAAGCCUGAUGCAGCCAUGCCGCGUGUAUGAAGAAGGCCUUCGGGUUGUAAAGUACUUUCAGCGAGGAGGAAAGCUCAAGCGUUAAUAGCGAUUGGGUGUGACGUUACUCGCAGAAGAAGCACCGGCUAACUUCGUGCCAGCAGCCGCGGUAAUACGAGGGGUGCAAGCGUUAAUCGGAAUUACUGGGCGUAAAGCGUACGCAGGCGGUUUGUUAAGCGAGAUGUGAAAGCCCCGGGCUCAACCUGGGAACUGCAUUUCGAACUGGCAAACUAGAGUCUUGUAGAGGGGGGUAGAAUUUCAGGUGUAGCGGUGAAAUGCGUAGAGAUCUGAAGGAAUACCGGUGGCGAAGGCGGCCCCCUGGACAAAGACUGACGCUCAUGUACGAAAGCGUGGGGAGCAAACAGGAUUAGAUACCUGGUAGUCCGUCCACGCCGUAAACGAUGUCUACUCGGAAUUUGGGUCUUGGACACUGGGUUCUCAAGCUAACGGAACGAUAGACCGCCUGGGGAGUUACGGCCGCAAGGUAAAAAUCAAAUCGCUG